This 108-nucleotide small nuclear RNA is filed under the name Neotoma lepida (desert woodrat). The record is from RNAcentral. Lineage: Eukaryota; Metazoa; Chordata; Mammalia; Rodentia; Cricetidae.
UUUCUCACUUUGGCAGCAUAUAUACUAAUAAUUAGAAUGACACAGAGAAGGUUAGCAUACCCCUUGUGCAGAGAUGACAGGAAAACCCAUCAAGCGGUACAUACUUUU